This is a long non-coding RNA of Salvelinus namaycush (lake trout), 168 nucleotides long. RefSeq lists it as uncharacterized. Lineage: Eukaryota; Metazoa; Chordata; Actinopteri; Salmoniformes; Salmonidae. The transcript is spliced from 3 exons. The record is from RefSeq and is a predicted model, not a curated record.
UGAGGAUGUGCCAGAUGUGCAGACUAUCCUUGAGGAGGCCACUGGCAAUUGGCAGUUGAUUCCGAUUAGGUUCAGCCCCCUGUACUGUGGGCCUGUUGUGAUCAGGAACAAUGCCGGUCCGGUGGUUAAAGCUUGGAGAACUUUCCAGUUCAUCAGCCCCAUCAUCAC